AAGCUCAAGCGUCAACCCUGGCCCGUAACUGAAACGGGAUUUGGUUCAAUCUGCAGGAGACAACUCUGGAGGGAAUCCUUGGCCAAGAAAACCAAACCCAGAGAAGCGAGGGUUGGAUGCUCAGCGAAAAUAGCUCGGUGGCGUCUGCUAUUUACAGUCCGUCCACUCUCUACUAACGCACUGAGAGGAAGACGUCCUCGGAACGACCCUCCAACUUGCAGGGCCCUCACAUCUGUGGGCUGAGGACCUCGCCGGGGCACGCCAUCCUCCCCGACGAAGUCCAGCCGGCUCCUAGGGGCCGCCGGGCGGGAAGCGGGAACCUGAGGCCGCGGUUGAGACCCCAACUCCGGAAUGUGCUUCAAGGACUCGGGUCGCCAGCUCACUGCCAGCCGCGCGCCGAACGCCGCUCCAGCCCCGAUCCCUGCCAGUCCCGGCGGGGCAGUCCCACUCCCCUCACCUGGUUCGGCUGCUCUGCCUGCUCCGAGGACGCCAUCUUUCUGAGGCCUGACUAAUCGACCGCCGCUGGCCCAAGUUUCUCCCAAGAGCGCUCGCUCUCGCUCUCCAGGCCAGACCAAAGUAGAAGGACUUGAGCCUGUCGAUGGGGGCGGGCUCCAGGCCGAAAGGGUUGAGCCCCGUGUCCAAGUUACCUGGCUGUUUACGGGGAGAUCUGUAGUCCAUGUUCUUUAUUUUUAAUAGAUUAUCCUUUCUUGUGGUUUUACAUAGCUAAUAUGUUAACGUUGCGGUUUAGUCACAAUGCACUCCUAACUCCUCACUCGCCCCACAUACCCCACUAGGUGCCCCUUCUUUUUAUAUAUAAAUCUAUUUACAUGUUUGUAUAUUUAGGGGUUUUUGUUUGUUUGUUUUUGUUUUCUAGACAGGACCUCAUGUAGUUCAAAGUAGCCUCGAACUUUCUCUGUAGCCAAUUCUCUUUCAGGUCCUCCUGCCUCCCUCCCAGUGCUGAGAUUACAGGGUGUGUACCACACAGAGAUUUUUAUUACUGAAUUAAAUCUCUCCCUAUUUUCAGAGCACCACAGUCACAUUUAGGGACUAUUUAUUUAGUAAACACAUGAAAAUGGAAAUUAAAUUCUAGCCAUUCUGUACAGUAUUAUUCAUUGACUACCUACUGUUUCCCAGAAGUGUUCACAGGUACUAGAAAUAAAAAGAGUCAAUACUCUGCAACUUUCUCUUGAGAAGCCCGUAUGCACACUAAUGUGUAAUGCUUUCUCAGGCUCUCUCCUAAUGCCUGUGCUUAGUCUAUAUUACAGCUGAUUCCUUAGAUGACAUUGCAACUCAGUUGGUAGUAACCAUAAAAAACUGGAUUCUAGCACCAUAAAUACCUGAUGUGGUGGUCCACUCCUGUGAUCACAGCAUUUGGGAGGCUCAGGCAGGAGAAUCAUGUCAUUAUC
Molecule: long non-coding RNA, 1406 nt
Organism: Onychomys torridus (southern grasshopper mouse)
Lineage: Eukaryota; Metazoa; Chordata; Mammalia; Rodentia; Cricetidae
Exons: 3
Source: RefSeq, a predicted model, not a curated record